GCCGCCGUAGCUCAGGUGGAAGAGCACUUCCUUGGUACGGAAGAGGUCCGGGGUUCGACUCCCCGCAGCGGCUCCA
This 76-nucleotide transfer RNA is filed under the name Micromonospora sp. KC721. RNAcentral describes it as "tRNA-Thr". It matches the Rfam family "tRNA". Rfam says of the family: Transfer RNA (tRNA) molecules are approximately 80 nucleotides in length. Their secondary structure includes four short double-helical elements and three loops (D, anti-codon, and T loops). Further hydrogen bonds mediate the characteristic L-shaped molecular structure. tRNAs have two regions of fundamental functional importance: the anti-codon, which is responsible for specific mRNA codon recognition, and the 3' end, to which the tRNAs corresponding amino acid is attached (by aminoacyl-tRNA synthetases). tRNAs cope with the degeneracy of the genetic code in two manners: having more than one tRNA (with a specific anti-codon) for a particular amino acid; and 'wobble' base-pairing, i.e. permitting non-standard base-pairing at the 3rd anti-codon position. The record is from RNAcentral. Lineage: Bacteria; Bacillati; Actinomycetota; Actinomycetes; Micromonosporales; Micromonosporaceae.